AGAGUUUGAUCCUGGCUCAGAACGAACGCUGGCGGCAGGCCUAACACAUGCAAGUCGAACGCUCGUAGCAAUACGAGAGUGGCAGACGGGUGAGUAACACGUGGGAACCUUCCCUAUGGUUCGGAAUAGCCCAGGGAAACUUGGGGUAAUACCGGAUAAGCCCUUACGGGGAAAGAUUUAUCGCCAUUGGAUGGGCCCGCGUCGGAUUAGCUAGUUGGUGGGGUAACGGCUCACCAAGGCGACGAUCCGUAGCUGGUCUGAGAGGAUGAUCAGCCACACUGGGACUGAGACACGGCCCAGACUCCUACGGGAGGCAGCAGUGGGGAAUAUUGGACAAUGGGCGCAAGCCUGAUCCAGCCAUGCCGCGUGAGUGACGAAGGCCUUAGGGUUGUAAAGCUCUUUUGGCGGGGAAGACAAUGACGGUACCCGCAGAAUAAGCUCCGGCUAACUUCGUGCCAGCAGCCGCGGUAAUACGAAGGGAGCUAGCGUUGUUCGGAAUCACUGGGCGUAAAGCGCACGUAGGCGGAUGUGUCAGUCA
RNAcentral lists this ribosomal RNA (538 nucleotides) under uncultured bacterium. RNAcentral's name for it is "bacterial SSU rRNA". It matches the Rfam family "Bacterial small subunit ribosomal RNA", at positions 8 to 590 of the family's 1533-position model. The record is from RNAcentral.